RNAcentral lists this small nucleolar RNA (171 nucleotides) under Rhizoctonia solani. RNAcentral describes it as "small nucleolar RNA snR35". It matches the Rfam family "small nucleolar RNA snR35". Lineage: Eukaryota; Fungi; Basidiomycota; Agaricomycetes; Cantharellales; Ceratobasidiaceae. The record is from Rfam by way of RNAcentral.
UUCGUGCGGCAGCACGGCUCUGGCAAUUUCCCCAAUGUUGCUCACCUCUGCGCCUUUCUAAUCUACGCGGUAGUUCGAGUGUCAAGCCGUGCUCUGAGCGUAUUUGGACGUCUUAGCACCCAAUUGUCGCCUUGCGUUUGCAUAGGAGACGGGUCGGUGGUUCAUACAUCC